RNAcentral lists this long non-coding RNA (321 nucleotides) under Equus asinus (donkey). Its description in RNAcentral is "lncRNA (ENSEASG00005030835.1)". The record is from RNAcentral. Lineage: Eukaryota; Metazoa; Chordata; Mammalia; Perissodactyla; Equidae.
ACGGGAUGCAGCGCGCGCCUGAGCUUCACGCCUGCUUCGGCUUCAGGAGUUUUUAAAGUCAAAUUGAACUUUCUGUCUUUGUGCCCACGCAUGAUGCUGCACGAGACCACACGCAAGGCUCCGGGAGAUGGUACUGAGAAGACCCUCAAUCCCACCUCAUUGAAGCAGAAUCCUAACGAGCAGGCAUUGACUCCAAAUAACUGCCACGGGCUUUCUAAGAAACUGCUCCUGCUUGAGUGAGUUUUGAGAAAAAUAAUGAAUGCAAAUUUUACUAUUAUAUCAAAACAUCUCUUAAUAAAGUUCAUUAAGAUGGGAAGGCAA